This 92-nucleotide transfer RNA is filed under the name Rubricoccus marinus. RNAcentral describes it as "tRNA-Ser". It matches the Rfam family "tRNA". From Rfam's summary of the family: Transfer RNA (tRNA) molecules are approximately 80 nucleotides in length. The record is from RNAcentral. Lineage: Bacteria; Pseudomonadati; Rhodothermota; Rhodothermia; Rhodothermales; Rubricoccaceae.
GGAGAGGUGGGUGAGUGGCUGAAACCGCUGCUUUGCUAAAGCAGUGUACCCUUUACGGGGUACCGGGGGUUCGAAUCCCCCCCUCUCCGCCG